RNAcentral lists this unclassified non-coding RNA (341 nucleotides) under soil metagenome. RNAcentral's name for it is "partial contains 5.8S ribosomal RNA, internal transcribed spacer 2, and large subunit ribosomal RNA". The stretch from base 1 to 120 matches the Rfam family "5.8S ribosomal RNA", at positions 35 to 154 of the family's 154-position model. The record is from RNAcentral.
GAUGAAGAACGCAGCGAAAUGCGAUAAGUAGUGUGAAUUGCAGAAUUCAGUGAAUCAUCGAAUCUUUGAACGCACAUUGCGCCCUUUGGUAUUCCAAAGGGCAUGCCUGUUCGAGCGUCAUUUGUACCCUCAAGCUUUGCUUGGUGUUGGGCGUCUUGUCUCUAGCUUUGCUGGAGACUCGCCUAAAAGUAAUUGGCAGCCGGCCUACUGGUUUCGGAGCGCAGCACAAGUCGCACUCUCUAUCAGCAAAGGUCUAGCAUCCAUUAAGCCUUUUUUUCAACUUUUGACCUCGGAUCAGGUAGGGAUACCCGCUGAACUUAAGCAUAUCAAUAAGCGGAGGA